This 66-nucleotide transfer RNA is filed under the name Echinoecus nipponicus. RNAcentral's name for it is "tRNA-Gln". Lineage: Eukaryota; Metazoa; Arthropoda; Malacostraca; Decapoda; Pilumnidae. The record is from RNAcentral.
UAUAUGUUGGUGUAAAGGGCACAUAAAGGUUUGAUUUUUAAGGAAGUGGUGUAAUUCCAUUACAUA